RNAcentral lists this ribosomal RNA (328 nucleotides) under uncultured eukaryote. RNAcentral describes it as "partial 18S ribosomal RNA". It matches the Rfam family "Eukaryotic small subunit ribosomal RNA", at positions 1470 to 1796 of the family's 1831-position model. The record is from RNAcentral.
CCCUUAGAUGUCCGGGGCUGCACGCGCGCUACACUGAAGGAAUCAGCGUGCUAAAACCAUUGUCGAAAGGCAUUGGUAAACCCAUUAAAAUCCUACGUGAUUGGGAUCGGGAAUUGCAAUUAUUUCCCUUGAACGAGGAAUUCCCAGUAAGUGUGGGUCAUAAGCUCGCGUUGAUUACGUCCCUGCCCUUUGUACACACCGCCCGUCGCUGCCCGGGACUGAGCCGUUUCGAGAAAAGCGGGGACUGCUGCUGUCGGGGCUUUCGGGCCUUGGCUUCGGUGGAAACCGCUUUAAUCGCAGUGGCUUGAGCCGGGCAAAAGUCGUAACA